GACGAACGCUGGCGGCGUGCCUAAUACAUGCAAGUCGAACGCACAGUUUAUACCGUAGCUUGCUACACCAUAAACUGUGAGUUGCGAACGGGUGAGUAACGCGUAGGUAACCUGCCUGGUAGCGGGGGAUAACUAUUGGAAACGAUAGCUAAUACCGCAUAAUAUUAAUUAUUGCAUGAUAAUUGAUUGAAAGAUGCAAUUGCAUCACUACCAGAUGGACCUGCGUUGUAUUAGCUAGUAGGUGAGGUAACGGCUCACCUAGGCGACGAUACAUAGCCGACCUGAGAGGGGGAUCGGCCACACUGGGACUGAGACACGGCCCAGACUCCUACGGGAGGCAGCAGUAGGGAAUCUUCGGCAAUGGACGAAAGUCUGACCGAGCAACGCCGCGGGAGUGAAGAAGGUUUUCGGAUCGUAAAGCUCUGUUGUAAGAGAAGAACGGGUGUGAGAGUGGAAAGUUCACACUGUGACGGUAUCUUACCAGAAAGGGACGGCUAACUACGUG
Molecule: ribosomal RNA, 505 nt
Filed under: uncultured bacterium
Lineage: Bacteria
Description: partial 16S ribosomal RNA
Rfam family: Bacterial small subunit ribosomal RNA
Source: RNAcentral